GAUGAACGCUAGCGGCAGGCCUAACACAUGCAAGUCGAACGGUAACAUGAAGUGCUUGCACUUUGAUGACGAGUGGCGCACGGGUGCGUAACGCGUAUACAAUCUACCUUUUACAGGAGGAUAGCCUUUAGAAAUGAAGAUUAAUACUCCAUGGUAAGUAGUGAUGGCAUCAUUAUUACUUUAAAGCUUCGGUGGUAAAAGAUGAGUAUGCGUUCUAUUAGCUAGAUGGUGUGGUAACGGCAUACCAUGGCAACGAUAGAUAGGGGCCCUGAGAGGGGGAUCCCCCACACUGGUACUGAGACGCGGACCAG
This 311-nucleotide ribosomal RNA is filed under the name uncultured Psychroserpens sp. RNAcentral describes it as "bacterial SSU rRNA". It matches the Rfam family "Bacterial small subunit ribosomal RNA", at positions 28 to 334 of the family's 1533-position model. The record is from RNAcentral. Lineage: Bacteria; Pseudomonadati; Bacteroidota; Flavobacteriia; Flavobacteriales; Flavobacteriaceae.